AACGUAGGAGGCGAGCGUUAUCCGGAGUUACUGGGCGUAAAGCGCGCGCAGGCGGUGCGUUAAGUCGGGCGUGAAAGCCCCAUGCUAAACGUGGGGAGGACGAACGAUACUGGCGGACUAGAGUAGAGCAGAGGGACAUGGAAUUCCGGGUGUAGCGGUGAAAUGUGCAGAUAUCCGGAGGAACACCAGAGGUGAAAACGGUGUCCUGGGCUCAUACUGACGCUGAGGUGCGAAAGCGUGGGGAGCGAAC
RNAcentral lists this ribosomal RNA (250 nucleotides) under uncultured bacterium. RNAcentral describes it as "partial 16S ribosomal RNA". It matches the Rfam family "Bacterial small subunit ribosomal RNA", at positions 524 to 773 of the family's 1533-position model. The record is from RNAcentral.